AGUCCUCCUCAGAAAGGACCCUCCCCUGCCAUAGAGGUGCACACAGCAAGUGGACCCUGCCGCCUUUGGGACUGUGCCUGGGCCCCUCAAAGUGAACGUGGAGGUUUUACGCCC
This 114-nucleotide small nucleolar RNA is filed under the name Castor canadensis (American beaver). Its description in RNAcentral is "Small nucleolar RNA SNORA68 (ENSCCNG00000025650.1)". It matches the Rfam family "Small nucleolar RNA SNORA68". Rfam says of the family: U68 is a member of the H/ACA class of small nucleolar RNAs (snoRNAs) which act as guides in the the modification of uridines to pseudouridines. Lineage: Eukaryota; Metazoa; Chordata; Mammalia; Rodentia; Castoridae. The record is from Rfam by way of RNAcentral.